GAAGUACUCCCACCGUCCAAAAAUACUUGUCACCAAAAUGAACAAAAAAUGAUGUAUCUUGAACUAAAAUGCGUCAUUUUGAUGACAAGUAUUUCCGGACGGAGGGAGUAUAUG
Molecule: non-coding RNA, 114 nt
Organism: Triticum aestivum (bread wheat)
Lineage: Eukaryota; Viridiplantae; Streptophyta; Magnoliopsida; Poales; Poaceae
Source: Rfam